Molecule: microRNA, 23 nt
Filed under: Blattella germanica (German cockroach)
Lineage: Eukaryota; Metazoa; Arthropoda; Insecta; Blattodea; Blattellidae
Description: Bge-Novel-10-P2_5p (mature (guide))
Source: RNAcentral
ACGUUGUAACUUGUGUAAAUUAU